This 393-nucleotide unclassified non-coding RNA is filed under the name Hevea brasiliensis (rubber tree). Lineage: Eukaryota; Viridiplantae; Streptophyta; Magnoliopsida; Malpighiales; Euphorbiaceae. The record is from RNAcentral.
GAAAAUUUCAUGGUCUUAUUUGACUAUUCUGUAGUGAGGUUAUGUUGGCAGAACUUAUUUGGUGGUUGUAUUGGAUGAGAGUAUUUGACUCAAAAGGAUGCAUUUCUUUCUGUUUGUUUAAUUUUGUUUGGAUUGCUUCCAUGUUUUCUGUUUUCUUUCAUGCACUAUAAUAGAUGCCUAGCAAGAGUUGCUGGACUAGUAUUUUUUUCUUAACAAUUGUGUCUAUUUGUUGAUUGUUUAGUUGAUCUAUUUUGAGCAUGGAACUGAUCAAUUUUAUUAUGUCCCUGAUGACCUUUUUCAUGAUUCUCCAUAUGCUACUUUGGUAAUUGAAUUCCAUGAUGAUUGCAAUCUGUUUUUACGCUGAUCACAAAGGGUUAACUAUUGCAGCCGGAU